GCAUAUCAAUAAGCGGAGGAAAAGAAACCAACAGGGAUUGCCCUAGUAACGGCGAGUGAAGCGGCAACAGCUCAAAUUUGAAAUCUGGCGCAAGCCCGAGUUGUAAUUUGUAGAGGAUGCUUCUGGGUAGCGACCGAUCUAAGUUCCUUGGAACAGGACGUCAUAGAGGGUGAGAAUCCCGUAUGUGACCGGCCCGCACCCUUUACGUAGCUCCUUCGACGAGUCGAGUUGUUUGGGAAUGCAGCUCUAAAUGGGAGGUAAAUUUCUUCUAAAGCUAAAUACCGGCCAGAGACCGAUAGCGCACAAGUAGAGUGAUCGAAAGAUGAAAAGUACUUUGGAAAGAGAGUUAAAAAGCACGUGAAAUUGUUGAAAGGGAAGCGCCUGCAACCAGACUUCGCGGCAGUGUUCCGCCGGUCUUCUGACCGGUUCAUUCUCUGUCGCGAGGCCAUCAUCGUCUGGGCCCGCCGGAUAAGACCUUAGGAAUGUAGCUCACCUUCGGGGGAGUGUUAUAGCCUAGGGUGAUGCGGCGAGGCUCGGGCGAGGUCCGCGCUUCGGCAAGGAUGAUGGCGUAAUGGUUGUCGGCGGCCCGUCUUGAAACACGGACCAAGGAGUCUAACAUCUAUGCGAGUGUUCGGGUGUCAAACCCCUACGCGUAAUGAAAGUGAACGGAGGUGGGAACCGCAAGGUGCACCAUCGACCGAUCCUGAUGUCCUCGGAUGGAUUUGAGUAAGAGCAUAGCUGUUGGGACCCGAAAGAUGGUGAACUAUGCCUGAAUAGGGUGAAGCCAGAGGAAACUCUGGUGGAGGCUCGCAGCGGUUCUGACGUGCAAAUCGAUCGUCAAAUUUGGGUAUA
RNAcentral lists this ribosomal RNA (852 nucleotides) under Septoria violae-palustris. RNAcentral describes it as "LSU rRNA". It matches the Rfam family "Eukaryotic large subunit ribosomal RNA", at positions 38 to 919 of the family's 3401-position model. The record is from RNAcentral. Lineage: Eukaryota; Fungi; Ascomycota; Dothideomycetes; Mycosphaerellales; Mycosphaerellaceae.